Long non-coding RNA from Leopardus geoffroyi (Geoffroy's cat), 941 nucleotides. RefSeq lists it as uncharacterized. Lineage: Eukaryota; Metazoa; Chordata; Mammalia; Carnivora; Felidae. The record is from RefSeq and is a predicted model, not a curated record. The transcript is spliced from 5 exons.
GCAAAUUGCAAUCCAAAAUUAAAUAUUAUGAGUCUGCCAGCAUGUGUCGACAAAAUAUUCUAGAUCAGCACUCUUAAUCUCAUUCUAACACAAUGUUAUGCGGGACAAAAAUACCGAGCACACAAUGAAAGACCUUGCCUUUGUUGAAGCUGCCUUUUUUAAAGGGAGGCCAGAAAGGAUAGAGAAACCCUGAGCACUCAAAAUACAACAAAAAAGAAGGAUGCCUGGUACAAUGUGCCUAUUGCAUGCCUGAGUAGAGCAUGCAACUCCUGAUUUCAGGGUCAUGAGUUGAGGCCCCAUGUAGGGCAUGGAGCCUCUUUAAAAAAAAAAAAAAAAAAGACAAAAGUACAACAAAAACAACAAUAAUAACAACAUUUAUUGAACACUCCCUGCACGUCAAGCACUGUGGUCCUCCUCCAUCAAGAUUUCAUCACUUUCAAGAAGCAGUAAAGCAUCUAGAAAAUCUCAGUACGACCUUGACCAUUGCUUCCGGCCUGGAUUUUUCUUCUACGUUGCUUCAUCUUUCCCAGAGUUAUGCAUUUAGCCCAACCUCCUGUGGGUGGCGCUCCUGCCUGAGUCUCCCCAGCCUGAAAGCAGGAUCCAAGGGCUGCUUCUUCGUCUGCCAGCAGUGCCCUGAAGAAACAACUUUCCCCACAGGCAAAGGCCAUGAUAUGGUGUGGUGGGAAGGGCAUCAGGCCUGCCAGACAAGAACUCCCCUGGCAGCCUUCCUGAGAUUCCAGCCAAGGAUCAUAAGUGUUGCUCUUUAAGAUAACUUUGUUUUCAGAAUCCGUAUCCUCCUAACUGCCAUUCCUACCUUUUUCUAUUGAAAUAAUUGUUUUCCUACGUGAUUAUUGAGAACUCAAGGUUUCUUAAGAUUUCAACAAUUGUGUUAUAGCAGAACAGAUGGUGAUCGGUAAACAAGAUUUUUGCGUUUCUUGUAA